RNAcentral lists this long non-coding RNA (2149 nucleotides) under Homo sapiens (human). RNAcentral describes it as "HSALNT0318718". The record is from RNAcentral. Lineage: Eukaryota; Metazoa; Chordata; Mammalia; Primates; Hominidae.
ACUCCUGAGCCUCCACCAUUGCUGUGAAAACAUGCCUGGGAGAGCCUGCUGGAAGACAGUACCCAGAGCAGCGCCCCAGUCUCUCCAGUUGACUAGCCAGGACCAGCCUAGAUCUUCUGACAACUGGAUGACCUUCAGAUAUCAUAAGAAAACAGCCGAAGAUUAGAUUUUGAUAAUGAGAGAGCCCAACGAUCCUGGACCCCUGGCCGGGAGGACAAUAGGGGAAACAGGUGAAACACUGUGUGAGCUGGACCACCCAGGCUCUCCAACACCAGGACACCAGAGCAUCCUUCCUCCUUCUUCUCUUCUGCUGCGACUUCCUGGAGGCAUAGCAGAGUUACAACUGCUGGCCAUGUGGAACUUCUCUUCUCCUAUAAGUUUGCUCUGAGAUGGAGAGAUUGUGCCUGUGGUUCAUUAGGAAGAGCUCUUGGGAUCAAUGCCUGUAAUAAGGAAGGGAAGGAAUCAGGAUUGGCCAGAAGGAGAAGUUGAGCUGUGUUGAAGCCUCAAUGGAGACCUCAGCCAAUUCUGAGUCAUGUCCUGAAGCUAGAAUAUGUCCUCUAAAUUAUCCCAAGCUGAGAUGAGGGAGCUGGGCAUUUAGCCCUGUAUUAGGCCAUUCUUGCACUGCUAUAAAGAAAUAACUAUGGCCUGGCGCCGUGGCUCACGUCCUUAAUCCUAGCACUUUGGGAGGCCGAGGCGAGCAGAUCACGAGGUCAGAGUUUGACACCAGCCUGGCCAAUAUGGUGAAACCCCAAUUCUACUAAAAAUACGAAAAUUAGCCAGGCGUGGUGGCACAUGUCUGUAAUCUCAGCUACUCGGGAGGCUGAGGCAGGAGAAUUGCUUGAACCCAGGAAGUGGAGGUUGCAGUGAGCUGAGAUUGUGCCUCUGCACUCCAGCCUAGGGAAUAAAGCGAAAGUCUGUCAAAAAAAAAAAAAAAAAGGAAAGAAGGAAAUAACUGAGACUGGUAAUUUAUAAAGAAGAGGUUUAAUUGGCUCACAGUUCCUCAUGCUAUACAAAAAGCAUGAUGCUGGCAUCUGCUCAGCUUCUUGGGAGGCCUCAGGAAAUGUACAAUCAUGGCAGAAGGUGACGCGGGAGCAGGCAGUUCACAGGGCCGGUGCAGGAGGAGAGAGAGAGGCAGGAGAUGCUACACGCCUUUAAACAACCAGAUCUCCUGAUAACUCACUCUCGUCACAACACCACCAAGGGAGAUGGUGUUAAACCAUGAGAAACCACCUCCACGAUCCAAUCACCUCCCACCAGGCCUCACCUCCAACACUGGGGAUUUAUAAUUCCACGUGAGAUUUGGGUAGAGGACACAGAUCCAAAAUAUAUCAUACCCCCACGUUGAUCAGUCAUUAGAUGUGGGCCACCCUAGUUGAGGCAGCUCCCCUCGCUCAGGUGGUUCCUGAAGCGAGCUGACAGCUGACGGCUGCAUGCCAGAGGUACUGUCAGCAGCUGAAGGAGAGUCUUUUGUGCUAAAAGCCAUCUUAAGCAGCACAGCACAGCGUCCACCACAUAUUGUGGACAGGUGAUAUGGUUUAGAUCUGUAUCCCCACCACAAUUUCAUGCUGAAUUGUAGUCCCCAAUGUUGGAGGUAAGCCCUGGUGGGAGGUGUUCGGGUCGUGGGAGCAGAUCCCUCAUGAAUGGCUUGGGCCAUCCUCUUGGUGAUGAGGGAACACUCACUCUGAGUGUUCACAAGAUCUGGUGGUUUAAACGUGUAUGGCACCUCUCCCCACCCCCACUCUUUCUUGUUCCUGCUUUUGCCAUGGGACUCGCAUGAUCCCUUUGCCUUCUGCCAGGACUAAAAGCUCCCUGGAGCCUCCUCAGAAGCUGAGCGAUGUUGGCGCCAUGCUUCUGGUACAGCCUGCAGAACCAUGAGCCAAUUCAACCUCCUUUCUUUAUAAAUUACCCAGUCUCAGGUAUUUCUUUAUGGCAAUACAAGAACACCAGGGGUUUGCAGGUAACCCGGGCCCCUGUCCUUGAGGACACAGCAGCAAGCCAUUGGUAAAGCAAAACUGUCCAUAAGGAAGGCUGCUCCCAUGCAGUGUUCAUUUGGGCAGCCCAGAAAUCGAGAAAUCCUCGGUCCAUUUCAAGUUUGGGGGAAAACUUAUUUUUAUCAUAUUUGAGAUGAAUAAUAAAAGCAAAUCCAGAA